UUUGGAGAAAGUUUGAUCCUGGCUCAGGACGAACGCUGGCGGCGUGCCUAAUACAUGCAAGUCGAGCGAACAGAAAAGGAGCUUGCUCCUUUGACGUUAGCGGCGGACGGGUGAGUAACACGUGGGCAACCUACCCUAUAGUUUGGGAUAACUCCGGGAAACCGGGGCUAAUACCGAAUAAUCUCUUUUGCUUCAUGGUGAAAGACUGAAAGACGGUUUCGGCUGUCGCUAUAGGAUGGGCCCGCGGCGCAUUAGCUAGUUGGUGAGGUAACGGCUCACCAAGGCGACGAUGCGUAGCCGACCUGAGAGGGUGAUCGGCCACACUGGGACUGAGACACGGCCCAGACUCCUCCGGCAGGCAGCAGUAGGGAAUCUUCCACAAUGGGCGAAAGCCUGAUGGAGCAACGCCGCGUGAGUGAAGAAGGUUUUCGGAUCGUAAAACUCUGUUGUAAGGGAAGAACAAGUACAGUAGUAACUGGCUGUACCUUGACGGUAGCCUUAU
This 502-nucleotide ribosomal RNA is filed under the name Lysinibacillus fusiformis. Its description in RNAcentral is "bacterial SSU rRNA". It matches the Rfam family "Bacterial small subunit ribosomal RNA", at positions 1 to 483 of the family's 1533-position model. The record is from RNAcentral. Lineage: Bacteria; Bacillati; Bacillota; Bacilli; Caryophanales; Bacillaceae.